This 536-nucleotide ribosomal RNA is filed under the name uncultured bacterium. RNAcentral describes it as "bacterial SSU rRNA". It matches the Rfam family "Bacterial small subunit ribosomal RNA", at positions 335 to 865 of the family's 1533-position model. The record is from RNAcentral.
CACCUACGGGUGGCAGCAGUGGGGAAUUUUGGACAAUGGGCGCAAGCCUGAUCCAGCCAUGCCGCGUGCAGGGUGAAGGCCUUCGGGUUGUAAACUGCUUUUGUACGGAACGAAAAGGUUCUUUUUAAUAAAGAGAGCUCAUGACGGUACCGUAAGAAUAAGCACCGGCUAACUACGUGCCAGCAGCCGCGGUAAUACGUAGGGUGCAAGCGUUAAUCGGAAUUACUGGGCGUAAAGCGUGCGCAGGCGGUGAUGUAAGACAGUUGUGAAAUCCCCGGGCUCAACCUGGGAACUGCAAUUGUGACUGCAUCGCUGGAGUGCGGCAGAGGGGGAUGGAAUUCCGCGUGUAGCAGUGAAAUGCGUAGAUAUGCGGAGGAACACCGAUGGCGAAGGCAAUCCCCUGGGCCUGCACUGACGCUCAUGCACGAAAGCGUGGGGAGCAAACAGGAUUAGAUACCCUGGUAGUCCACGCCCUAAACGAUGUCAACUGGUUGUUGGGAAUUCACUUUCUCAGUAACGAAGCUAACGCGUGAAGU